AUUGAUUAUUAAUACUUAUCUCAAAUAAAAAUUAUAAAUCAUUGAAAAGUUUAUUUUUGCUUAUUUUACUAGUAAUAAAAGUAUGAAACUGAAUAUACAUGAUACUACACCAAGUAGAUUCAUGAGACUUACACCUCACCCCGUACUAUAUAAAAAGCCUCAUGAAACUUACACCUCACUCCGUACUAUAUAAAAAGCCUUGCCUCACACCCCCGCCUUUUAAAACACUCAGACAAUCAAAAGGUGAAGAGGUGGAUGUUGAUGUCUAUGUCUCCUGAGAUCAUGAAGUGAUAUAUUCGCUUACCUACUGCUUAAGAAAUAUGGAAAGCUCUGUCAACAACCUUUUAUGAUGGAGCAGAUGAACUAAAGUCUUCACUUUGAAUCAAAAAGCCUUUUCUGCCAAACAAAAUGACAGAUCUCUCUCUUCCUACUAUGGAGAAUUGAUUGAAUUUUUUUGUGAGUUGAAUCACCGUGAUAAGGUGAUCAUGGAAAAUGAAAAGGAUGUCAGUUCUUACCGCAAGUCUAUUCAACAACAAAAGGUGCACAUCUUUCUUGCUGGUUUGGAUGGUGAAUUUGAACAGAUUCGUGGGGAAAUCUUGAUGAAGGAUCAUGUUUCAGAAUUAGAAGAAUGUUACUUAAUGGUUUGUCGUGAAUCUAUGGAGAUCUUGAAAAAUCUGAAGCAGCCGCCAUGGUGAGCAAAUAUAGAUCUAAUCAGAAUCGAUUCUCUCAAAAUCAACCAGAUCAAAUGAGGUCUAAGGGUAUCAAAAUGUCCACUUAUUAGUGUAAUCAUUUUGAUCAGUCGGGGUUCAAAAAAGAUUGUUGUUUUGAGAUUGUGGGAUAUCUAGAAUGGUGGUAUUAGAACUGUGAUUCAAGAAAGAGAAAUGCAAGCCAGAGUUCCACUGCUGCAACUGUAGAAACAAAUGCCAAGGAAGAUGUUGCUGGACAAUCCACAACCUUGGUAGAAACGAGAGGUAACAAUGAUGAUGAAGAUGAUUGAUUAUGGUACUAGACGAGAGAAGUUGCAUUGCUUGAAUUUGGAGUCAAAAAGUUCUAAUCAGUUGCGCCAAGCAUUACCGAUUAAUGUGUUUAGUUGUGAGGACAAAACAAGGAAAUCUUAUAUUUGGCUAUGGUAUCGACGAUCAGGACAUGUUUCUUUUGGAUAUCUUAAUAAGUUGUUUCCUAGGUUAUUUACAAAAUUUGAUGUUUUUGAUUUCCAUUGUGAUGUCUGUGAACUUUUAAAGAGUCAACGUGUGUCUUUUUCACCAAAAAUGAAAAAAGUUCAAUUCCUUUUAUGACUAUACAUUCAGAUAUUUGGGGUCCAUCCAAGGUGAAUACGUUAGGUGGAUUACGUUGGUUUGUUACUUUUAUAGACGAUUGUACUAGAAUGACUUGGUGUGUUUGAUGAAGUUCAAAAGUGAAGUGAA
This is a long non-coding RNA of Solanum pennellii, 1424 nucleotides long. RefSeq lists it as uncharacterized. The record is from RefSeq and is a predicted model, not a curated record. The transcript has 2 exons. Lineage: Eukaryota; Viridiplantae; Streptophyta; Magnoliopsida; Solanales; Solanaceae.